UGAACGCUGGCGGGCGAGCCUAAACCUGCAAUUCGGGGCGAAUGGAAUCUGAUAGCCUUGGUAUCCAGGAAGUUAGCGGCGGACGGGUGAGUAACACGUGGGUAACCUGCCCAUAAGACUGGGAUAACUCCGGGAAACCGGGGCUAAUACCGGAUAACAUUUUGAACUGCAUGGUUCGAAAUUGAAAGGCGGCUUCNGCUGUCACUUAUGGAUGGACCCGCGUCGCAUUAGCUAGUUGGUGAGGUGACGGCUCACCAAGGCAACAAUGCGUAGCCCCACCUGAAAAGGGGAGCGGGCACUUUGGGACUAAGACCCCGUCCGAACUUCUUCGGGAGGGAGGAAUUUGGAAUCUUCCCCAAUGGACGAAAGUCUGACGGAGCAACGCCGCGUGAGUGAUGAAGGCUUUCGGGUCGUAAAACUCUGUUGUUAGGGAAGAACAAGUGCUAGUUGAAUAAGCUGGCACCUUGACGGUACCUAACCAGAAAGCCACGGCUAACUACGUGCCAGCAGCCGCGG
This 516-nucleotide ribosomal RNA is filed under the name bacterium UASWS0138. Its description in RNAcentral is "bacterial SSU rRNA". It matches the Rfam family "Bacterial small subunit ribosomal RNA", at positions 30 to 520 of the family's 1533-position model. The record is from RNAcentral.